RNAcentral lists this long non-coding RNA (253 nucleotides) under Gossypium barbadense (sea-island cotton). RNAcentral's name for it is "long non-coding RNA (GBAR_LNC012236)". The record is from RNAcentral. Lineage: Eukaryota; Viridiplantae; Streptophyta; Magnoliopsida; Malvales; Malvaceae.
CUUCAUCCAAGCACCCAGGGUUUUAUUCACUUAAAACCAAAAUUUUUGCUAAAGCCUAGGUUUGAACCCAGGACUUCUCCAACACUCCCAAACACUCCUAAUCACGUAACCACUGCAAUAGACAAUCAAUUGUGUCAUUUCCUUGCACAAUUAAAUACUUAUAUACAACCUCCUUACGGACCCAUACUCAAGGCCUAAUACUUCUAGGCCCAAAUUCGGGGCGUUACAAUAGAUGACAAAAUUAAGAAGAUAU